RNAcentral lists this ribosomal RNA (329 nucleotides) under uncultured eukaryote. RNAcentral's name for it is "partial 18S ribosomal RNA". It matches the Rfam family "Eukaryotic small subunit ribosomal RNA", at positions 1470 to 1796 of the family's 1831-position model. The record is from RNAcentral.
CCCUUAGAUGUCCUGGGCCGCACGCGCGCUACACUGAGUGUCUGAGAUACGAGUCUGCCUGGUCCGGCAAGGUCUAGGUAAUCGCUAAAAGACACAUCAUGCUUGGGAUAGAUUAUUGCAAAUAUUAAUCUUGUACGAGGAAUUCCUAGUAAGCGCAAGUCAACAGCUUGCGUUGAUUACGUCCCUGCCCUUUGUACACACCGCCCGUCGCUACUACUGAUUGGAUGUUUAAGCGAGGUUCUCGAACUGCUAGCGACUUAGCUUCGGUGAGGUCGCAGUGUGGGAAGUGAACCUAGCUUUGGUGUCUAGAGGAAGUAAAAGUCGUAACA